UGCACUCACUACUGUAAGUCGCUCUGGAUAAGAGCAUCUGCUAACUGACUAAAA
Molecule: non-coding RNA, 54 nt
Organism: Salmo salar (Atlantic salmon)
Lineage: Eukaryota; Metazoa; Chordata; Actinopteri; Salmoniformes; Salmonidae
Source: Rfam